Molecule: long non-coding RNA, 658 nt
Organism: Poecile atricapillus (Black-capped chickadee)
Lineage: Eukaryota; Metazoa; Chordata; Aves; Passeriformes; Paridae
Exons: 3
Source: RefSeq, a predicted model, not a curated record
AUUUGUAGCGGUCCUCAGCUCGCGUCCAUGACCCGCAGCCUCCGGGCGGGACCGCCGGGGCCGGGAUCGAAGCACAGAGCGAGCCCGGUCCCCGCGGCUGCGCGGGGGAAGACCGAGCGGCGAGCAAAGGGAGCAUUUAUAAACUAUAUCGAUAUUUCACUGAAAUUCAGGGCAGAGCAGCGACGGGGGCGCUCAGGUUCGGCCAGGAUUAGCCCUAAACGAGCCGGGCAAACCCCCGACCGCUCAAGGGAAGCGGAAGUCAGUAACCGGUAAUCGCCUAGGACCCCGUGAGGAAUUUCCUCCGUAAUCACAAACCCAGCACGCAGGGGAUUUAUGCGGCAGAAUCCCAAUUUCGGCCACGGCACCCGGAGGAGAAGACCGGUUCUCUAUCGCGGAAAUGAAAGCCCAGCACCCCGGCGUUUCGGGGACGGACAGCGGGACACGAGGAUUGCAGUUUCCUGAAGUUCUAGGUCACGUCAAGUGCGAUACUUCAGAUUCUCUCAGCAGAUUCAUCGUGACACAAAAGGGAACCGCUGCGGCAGCUUUCCUUAGCAGCAGAUCGGUCUCUCCAAUGGAUUCGCUUCGGAGAGAUAAAUGCGGAUGGAUCGACCUCCCGGCAGAGCGCCCCGUCCCAGAUGAGGGGAUCCCCCUGAGAAGG